UGAUGCAGCCAUGCCGCGUGUAUGAAGAAGGCCUUCGGAUUGUAAAGUACUGUCAGCGGGGAGGAAGGCGAUGCGGUUAAUAUCCUCGUCGAUUGACGUUACCCGCAGAAGAAGCACCGGCUAACUCCGUG
RNAcentral lists this ribosomal RNA (131 nucleotides) under Escherichia senegalensis. RNAcentral's name for it is "partial 16S ribosomal RNA". It matches the Rfam family "Bacterial small subunit ribosomal RNA", at positions 384 to 507 of the family's 1533-position model. Lineage: Bacteria; Pseudomonadati; Pseudomonadota; Gammaproteobacteria; Enterobacterales; Enterobacteriaceae. The record is from RNAcentral.